AAUCGGCAGCUAAUUUGAUUUGAUGUCUGAAUUUUGUAGAGUUCGUAGAAAAAAGAAAAAGAAAAAGUGGAUAGCUGGGUUUUCAUCUUCUUUUUUUUCUUUUUGUCUUUUUUACGCAAGAGGGGAUUCUUGGAGUGUAGAGCAUUUGUCUUUUUUUUAGGUAAAAAAAUAAAAAUAAAAUAAACCUAGCUUCUUCAAAAUCUGAGAUAUUAAAUUAGGAAUUUCUUAAACACGUAACAGGAUCAUGUGCUCUUUGCCAUUGUAUCUCUCCCCCUAAUUUAAAGAUGAAAUACAUUCACCCAAAAUAUAUGGGAAGCUGCUUUUUAGCAGAUGCUGGUUAUGCUAGUUGAUAACAGCAGAGAGUCUGUCCUUUACAUUCGAGUUCGAACCUUCCUCUUCCUAGGGUAGAUUAUAGCUUCUAUUAAAAAGUAUAGAUGUGCUUCCAAUUAAUUGACUAAAAGACAAAAAGUUUGAUCUCCCUUUCCGUCUCCCUCUUAUCUCUCAUGUCAUGACGACUAAAAUGGAACUCUGAGCAAUAUUUCAAUAAGUUGUAGCAUCAAUCUCACGCCAAAAUGUACUAUCAAUCACAUGAGUAAAGGUCUCUCUCUCAUUUGGGCACUCACAGACUUGACUCAUCAUCUCUGCAAAAAAGAAUACUGAUUGAUCACUGUGGGAAUGGAUGAUCACGUACCAACUAUCACCCAUGAAUUGCUCAUCAGGCUCUCUCUUCCGAAAGAAGAAGAUGAUGAUGCGAUUCUUCUCAAGAUUCAGUCUCAACAGCAUCCUGACAUCUCCUACAUGACCUGCCCAAGUCUGCCUCUUGGACAUGUACUUCGAGAUUACUGUAGACGUUCUUACCUACACUAAGAAGCAGUACGUCUCCUUUAUGAUGGAAAAAGGGUCAGAGAGAAGGAUACCCCGGAACAGCACGAGAUGGAGAAUGAGGAUGUUAUUGAUGCAAUGUUGGAUCAGAUUGCCGGCGGUGGCCAUGUUCUUUGAUCUAUUUUAUUUAGCUGCUGCUAUGAACUUAGUCAUUAUGGAGCCUCCCCUUGUAAUUUUCUUCUCAAUGAUCAUUGGCUGCCUUGACUGGAAAGCAGUCAUUAGUAUGUUCAGUUAUCGAAUUGCUAGAAUAUCAUCAUCAGUUUGGGUCCUGAUUAGUCAUCACUAUGCAACCAAACACCCACUCUCUAAACAACCAGAAGUGCAUUUAAUAACAAUAUAUAUGCAUUAAAUAAUGAGAUAUGCAGGGGAGUUUGGAGAGGUUUGGAAUUUGGAAAUAGGAAUUGAAUGAUAUUUGACUAGAAUACAUGGUCCAAUUACAUGUGUGGCUGCUUCAUUGUCUUCA
Prunus dulcis (almond) is the source of this 1345-nucleotide long non-coding RNA. RefSeq lists it as uncharacterized. The transcript is spliced from 3 exons. The record is from RefSeq and is a predicted model, not a curated record. NCBI's taxonomy places the organism in Eukaryota, Viridiplantae, Streptophyta, Magnoliopsida, Rosales, Rosaceae.